UCCUCCGUGGCGCAAUUGGCUAGCGCGUUCGACUGUUAUGUUUCUUCUAUCCUUGAAGGCAGGGCAAUCGAGAGGUUGACAGUUCAAGCCUGUCCGGGGGAG
Xylaria sp. CBS 124048 is the source of this 102-nucleotide non-coding RNA. Lineage: Eukaryota; Fungi; Ascomycota; Sordariomycetes; Xylariales; Xylariaceae. The record is from the annotation of a GenBank genome assembly.